GGGGUUGUAACUCAGUGGUAGAGUGUUCGCCUUGCAUGCGAAAAGCCUGGAGUUCAAUCCUCCGCAACUCCA
This 72-nucleotide transfer RNA is filed under the name Daphnia galeata. It matches the Rfam family "tRNA". Rfam says of the family: Transfer RNA (tRNA) molecules are approximately 80 nucleotides in length. The record is from Rfam by way of RNAcentral. Lineage: Eukaryota; Metazoa; Arthropoda; Branchiopoda; Diplostraca; Daphniidae.